Molecule: ribosomal RNA, 424 nt
Filed under: uncultured bacterium
Lineage: Bacteria
Description: bacterial SSU rRNA
Rfam family: Bacterial small subunit ribosomal RNA
Source: RNAcentral
GGGGAAUCUUGCCCAAUGGGCGAAAGCCAGAGGCAGCGACGCCGCGUGCGGGAAGAAGGCCUUCGGGUUGUAAACCGCUUUCAGGAGGGACGAAGCCACUCGGGUUAAUAGCCCAGAGGGUGACGGUACCUCCCGAAGAAGCCCCGGCUAACUACGUGCCAGCAGCCGCGGUAAUACGUAGGGUGCAAGCGUUGCCCGGAUUUAUUGGGCGUAAAGGGCGCGCAGGUGGCUCGACACGUCCGUUGUGAAAUCGCCUGGCUCAACUGGGCGGGGUCAGCGGAUACGGUCGGGCUUGAGCAAGCUAGGGGGCAAUGGAAUUCCCGGUGUAGUGGUGGAAUGCGUAGAUAUCGGGAGGAACACCAGUGGCGAAGGCGGUUGCCUGGAGCUUUGCUGACGCUGAGGCGCGAAAGCGUGGGGAGCGAUC